AAAACAAAGCUUUUAAAGCAUUUUAUUUACAAUAAAAAGAAUCUUAUGGAUGUUUUUA
RNAcentral lists this transfer RNA (58 nucleotides) under Grandidierella fasciata. RNAcentral describes it as "tRNA-Val". The record is from RNAcentral. Lineage: Eukaryota; Metazoa; Arthropoda; Malacostraca; Amphipoda; Corophiidae.